AAACUGAGUAUAAACAUGUGCG
Molecule: small nuclear RNA, 22 nt
Filed under: Arabidopsis thaliana (thale cress)
Lineage: Eukaryota; Viridiplantae; Streptophyta; Magnoliopsida; Brassicales; Brassicaceae
Description: snRNA_01845
Source: RNAcentral